GCCCCCCCGAAGUCGGAAUUGCUAGUAAUCGCGUAACAGCAUGACGCGGUGACCACGUUCCCGGGCGUUGUACACACCGCCCGUCACACCAUGGGAGUUGGUUCUACCCGACGACGCUGCGCUAACCCUUCGGGGAGGCAGGCGGCCACGGUAGGAUCAGCGACUGGGGUAGAAGUCGUAACGGUUGAAGCCGUAAUCGAAUUUCAGUCGCCGACGAR
Molecule: ribosomal RNA, 218 nt
Filed under: uncultured Paracoccaceae bacterium
Lineage: Bacteria; Pseudomonadati; Pseudomonadota; Alphaproteobacteria; Rhodobacterales; Paracoccaceae
Description: uncultured Rhodobacteraceae bacterium partial 16S ribosomal RNA
Rfam family: Bacterial small subunit ribosomal RNA
Source: RNAcentral